Molecule: ribosomal RNA, 787 nt
Filed under: Dasumia crassipalpis
Lineage: Eukaryota; Metazoa; Arthropoda; Arachnida; Araneae; Dysderidae
Also listed under: 1 other name
Description: SSU rRNA
Rfam family: Eukaryotic small subunit ribosomal RNA
Source: RNAcentral
CGAAAGUUAGAGGUUCGAAGGCGAUCAGAUACCGCCCUAGUUCUAACCAUAAACGAUGCCAACCAGCGAUCCGCCUGAGUUCCUCAAAUGACUCGGCGGGCAGCUUCCGGGAAACCAAAGUGUUUGGGUUCCGGGGGAAGUAUGGUUGCAAAGCUGAAACUUAAAGGAAUUGACGGAAGGGCACCACCAGGAGUGGAGCCUGCGGCUUAAUUUGACUCAACACGGGAAAACUUACCCGGCCCGGACACUGGAAGGAUUGACAGAUUAAGAGCUCUUUCUUGAUUCAGUGGGUGGUGGUGCAUGGCCGUUCUUAGUUGGUGGAGCGAUUUGUCUGGUUAAUUCCGAUAACGAACGAGACUCUAGCCUACUAAAUAGGCGUUCCGAUCCUUUAUGUCGGACGUUCUUCUUAGAGGGACAAGCGGCUUUUAGCCGCACGAGACAGAGCAAUAACAGGUCUGUGAUGCCCUUAGAUGUCCGGGGCCGCACGCGCGCUACACUGAAGGAAUCAGCGUGUGCUUUCCCUGUCUGGUAGGACUGGGUAACCCGUUAAACCUCCUUCGUGAUAGGGAUAGGGGCUUGUAAUUGUUCCCCUUGAACGAGGAAUUCCCAGUAAGCACGAGUCAUAAGCUCGUGUUGAUUACGUCCCUGCCCUUUGUACACACCGCCCGUCGCUACUACCGAUUGAAUGAUUUAGUGAGGUCUUCGGACUGGCGCUCGUAGCGACCUUUGGCCGCGCCGACGUGCCGGAAAGAUGACCAAACUUGAUCAUUUAGAGGAAGUAAAAGUC